CCUACGGGAGGCAGCAGUGAGGAAUAUUGGUCAAUGGACGAGAGUCUGAACCAGCCAAGUAGCGUGAAGGAUGACUGCCCUAUGGGUUGUAAACUUCUUUUAUAUGGGAAUAAAAUGUUCCACGUGUGGGAUUUUGUAUGUACCAUAUGAAUAAGGAUCGGCUAACUCCGUGCCAGCAGCCGCGGUAAUACGGAGGAUCCGAGCGUUAUCCGGAGUUAUUGGGUUUAAAGGGAGCGUAGGUGGAUUGUUAAGUCAGUUGUGAAAGUUUGCGGCUCAACCGUAAAAUUGCAGUUGAAACUGGCAGUCUUGAGUACAGUAGAGGUGGGCGGAAUUCGUGGUGUAGCGGUGAAAUGCUUAGAUAUCACGAAGAACUCCGAUUGCGAAGGCAGUUCACUGGACUGCAACUGACACUGAGGCUCGAAAGUGUGGGUAUCAAACAGGAUUAGAUACCCGUGUAGUC
Molecule: ribosomal RNA, 460 nt
Filed under: uncultured bacterium
Lineage: Bacteria
Description: partial 16S ribosomal RNA
Rfam family: Bacterial small subunit ribosomal RNA
Source: RNAcentral